UACAGAGGGUGCAAGCGUUGUUCGGAAUUAUUGGGCGUAAAGGGCGCGUAGGCGGUUUCGCAUGUCCGAUGUGAAAGCCCACCUCUUAAAGGUGGAAUUGCAUCGGAAACUGCGAGACUAGAGUGCCGGAGAGGGUGGUGGAAUUCCUGGUGUAGACGUGAAAUUCGUAGAUAUCAGGAGGAACACCGGUGGCGAAGGCGGCCACCUGGACGGUUACUGACGCUGAGGCGCGAAAGCGUGGGGAGCAAACAGG
This 253-nucleotide ribosomal RNA is filed under the name uncultured bacterium. Its description in RNAcentral is "partial 16S ribosomal RNA". It matches the Rfam family "Bacterial small subunit ribosomal RNA", at positions 524 to 776 of the family's 1533-position model. The record is from RNAcentral.